RNAcentral lists this ribosomal RNA (392 nucleotides) under uncultured bacterium. Its description in RNAcentral is "bacterial SSU rRNA". It matches the Rfam family "Bacterial small subunit ribosomal RNA", at positions 28 to 421 of the family's 1533-position model. The record is from RNAcentral.
GACGAACGCUGGCGGCGUGCUUAACACAUGCAAGUCGAGCGGUAAGGCCCUUUCGGGGGUACACGAGCGGCGAACGGGUGAGUAACACGUGGGUGACCUGCCCUCAGCUCUGGGAUAAGCCUGGGAAACCGGGUCUAAUACUGGAUAUGACUCCAUGACGCAUGUUGUGGGGUGGAAAGCCUUGUGCGGCUGAGGAUGGGCCCGCGGCCUAUCAGCUUGUUGGUGGGGUGANGGCCUACCAAGGCGACGACGGGUAGCCGGCCUGAGAGGGCGACCGGCCACACUGGGACUGAGACACGGCCCAGACUCCUACGGGAGGCAGCAGUGGGGAAUCUUGCGCAAUGGGCGGAAGCCUGACGCAGCGACGCCGCGUGAGGGAUGACGGCCUGUGU